This 433-nucleotide ribosomal RNA is filed under the name uncultured bacterium. RNAcentral's name for it is "partial 16S ribosomal RNA". It matches the Rfam family "Bacterial small subunit ribosomal RNA", at positions 29 to 507 of the family's 1533-position model. The record is from RNAcentral.
AACGAACGCUGGCGGCAUGCCUAACACAUGCAAGUCGAACGAGACCUUCGGGUCUAGUGGCGCACGGGUGCGUAACGCGUGGGAACCUGCCCUUAGGUUCGGAAUAACUCCCCGAAAGGGGUGCUAAUACCGGAUAAUGUCUUCGGACCAAAGAUUUAUCGCCUUUGGAUGGGCCCGCGUUGGAUUAGCUAGUUGGUAGGGUAAAAGCCUACCAAGGCGACGAUCCAUAGCUGGUCUGUGAGGAUGAUCAGCCACACUAGGACUGAGACACGGCCCAGACUCCUACGGGAGGCAGCAGUGGGGAAUAUUGGACAAUGGGCGAAAGCCUGAUCCAGCAAUGCCGCGUGAGUGAUGAAGGCCUUAGGGUUGUAAAGCUCUUUUACCCGGGAUGAUAAUGACAGUACCGGGAGAAUAAGCUCCGGCUAACUCCGUG